RNAcentral lists this ribosomal RNA (788 nucleotides) under uncultured Lactobacillus sp. RNAcentral describes it as "bacterial SSU rRNA". It matches the Rfam family "Bacterial small subunit ribosomal RNA", at positions 28 to 776 of the family's 1533-position model. The record is from RNAcentral. Lineage: Bacteria; Bacillati; Bacillota; Bacilli; Lactobacillales; Lactobacillaceae.
GACGAACGCUGGCGGCGUGCCUAAUACAUGCAAGUCGAGCGAGCUUGCCUAGAUGAAUUUGGUGCUUGCACCAGAUGAAACUAGAUACNNGCGAGCGGCGGACGGGUGAGUAACACGUGGGUAACCUGCCCAAGAGACUGGGAUAACACCUGGAAACAGAUGCUAAUACCGGAUAACAACACUAGACGCAUGUCUAGAGUUUAAAAGAUGGUUCUGCUAUCACUCUUGGAUGGACCUGCGGUGCAUUAGCUAGUUGGUAAGGUAACGGCUUACCAAGGCAAUGAUGCAUAGCCGAGUUGAGAGACUGAUCGGCCACAUUGGGACUGAGACACGGCCCAAACUCCUACGGGAGGCAGCAGUAGGGAAUCUUCCACAAUGGACGCAAGUCUGAUGGAGCAACGCCGCGUGAGUGAAGAAGGGUUUCGGCUCGUAAAGCUCUGUUGGUAGUGAAGAAAGAUAGAGGUAGUAACUGGCCUUUAUUUGACGGUAAUUACUUAGAAAGUCACGGCUAACUACGUGCCAGCAGCCGCGGUAAUACGUAGGUGGCAAGCGUUGUCCGGAUUUAUUGGGCGUAAAGCGAGUGCAGGCGGUUCAAUAAGUCUGAUGUGAAAGCCUUCGGCUCAACCGGAGAAUUGCAUCAGAAACUGUUGAACUUGAGUGCAGAAGAGGAGAGUGGAACUCCAUGUGUAGCGGUGGAAUGCGUAGAUAUAUGGAAGAACACCAGUGGCGAAGGCGGCUCUCUGGUCUGCAACUGACGCUGAGGCUCGAAAGCAUGGGUAGCGAACAGG